AUGAACGCUGGCGGCGUGCUUAACACAUGCAAGUCGAACGAAGCACUUUAACCUGAUUCUUCGGAUGAAGGUUUUUGUGACUGAGUGGCGGACGGGUGAGUAACGCGUGGGUAACCUGCCUCAUACAGGGGGAUAACAGUUAGAAAUGACUGCUAAUACCGCAUAAGACCACAGAGCCGCAUGGCUCGGCGGGAAAAACUCCGGUGGUAUGAGAUGGACCCGCGUCUGAUUAGGUAGUUGGUGGGGUAACGGCCUACCAAGCCAACGAUCAGUAGCCGAACUGAGAGGGUGACCGGCCACAGUGGGACUGAGACACGGCCCAAACUCCUACGGGAGGCAGCAGUGGGGAAUAUUGCACAGUGGGGGAAACCCUGAUGCAGCGACGCCGCGUGAGCGAAGAAGUAUUUCGGUAUGUAAAGCUCUAUCAGCAGGGAAGAAAAUGACGGUACCUGACUAAGAAGCACCGGCUAAAUACGUG
RNAcentral lists this ribosomal RNA (478 nucleotides) under uncultured bacterium. RNAcentral's name for it is "partial 16S ribosomal RNA". It matches the Rfam family "Bacterial small subunit ribosomal RNA", at positions 29 to 507 of the family's 1533-position model. The record is from RNAcentral.